RNAcentral lists this ribosomal RNA (784 nucleotides) under uncultured bacterium. RNAcentral's name for it is "bacterial SSU rRNA". It matches the Rfam family "Bacterial small subunit ribosomal RNA", at positions 33 to 773 of the family's 1533-position model. The record is from RNAcentral.
ACGCUGGCGGCGUGCCUAAUACAUGCAAGUCGAACGCCUUGUGGUUUUAAUGAAUAGCGUGCUUGCACAAUAUGAUUUAAAACAAUGCAAGGAGUGGCGAACGGGUGAGUAACACGUGGGAAACCUACCUCUUAGCAGGGGAUAACAUUUGGAAACAGAUGCUAAUACCGUAUAACACUAAAAACCGCAUGGUUUUUAUUUGAAAGAUGGUUCUGCUAUCACUAAGAGAUGGUCCCGCGGUGCAUUAGUUAGAUGGUGAGGUAAUGGCUCACCAUGACGAUGAUGCAUAGCCGAGUUGAGAGACUGAUCGGCCACAAUGGGACUGAGACACGGCCCAUACUCCUACGGGAGGCAGCAGUAGGGAAUCUUCCACAAUGGGCGCAAGCCUGAUGGAGCAACGCCGCGUGUGUGAUGAAGGGUUUCGGCUCGUAAAGCACUGUUGUAAGAGAAGAAUGUACUUGAGAGUAACUGUUCAAGUAGUGACGGUAUCUUACCAGAAAGGGACGGCUAAAUACGUGCCAGCAGCCGCGGUAAUACGUAUGUCCCAAGCGUUAUCCGGAUUUAUUGGGCGUAAAGCGAGCGCAGACGGUUAUUUAAGUCUGAAGUGAAAGCCCCCAGCUCAACUGAGGAAUUGCUUUGGAAACUGGAUGACUUGAGUGCAGUAGAGGAAAGUGGAACUCCAUGUGUAGCGGUGAAAUGCGUAGAUAUAUGGAAGAACGCCAGUGGCGAAGGCGGCUUUCUGGACUGUAACUGACGUUGAGGCUCGAAAGUGUGGGUAGCAAAC